Molecule: ribosomal RNA, 399 nt
Filed under: uncultured bacterium
Lineage: Bacteria
Description: partial 16S ribosomal RNA
Rfam family: Bacterial small subunit ribosomal RNA
Source: RNAcentral
CCUACGGGAGGCAGCAGUAGGGAAUCUUCCACAAUGGACGAAAGCCUGAUGGAGCAACGCCGCGUGGGUGAAGAAGGUCUUCGGAUCGUAAAACUCUGUUGUUAGAGAAGAAAGUGCGUGAGCGUAACUGUUCACGUUUCGACGGUAUCUAACCAGAAAGCCACGGCUAAAUACGUGCCAGCAGCCGCGGUAAUACGUAGGUGGCAAGCGUUAUCCGGAUUUGUUGGGCGUAAAGGGAACGCAGGCGGUCUUUUAAGUCUGAGGUGACAGCCUUCGGCUUAACCGGAGUAGUGCAUUGGAAACUGGGAGGCUUGAGUGCAGAUGAGGAGGGUGGAAUGCAAGGUGUAGCGGUGAAAUGCGUAGAGAUAUGGAAGAACACCAGUGGCGAAGGCGGCUCUC